Molecule: transfer RNA, 74 nt
Filed under: Candidatus Coatesiibacteriota bacterium
Lineage: Bacteria; Candidatus Coatesiibacteriota
Description: Candidatus Coatesbacteria bacterium tRNA-Gln
Rfam family: tRNA
About the family: Transfer RNA (tRNA) molecules are approximately 80 nucleotides in length. Their secondary structure includes four short double-helical elements and three loops (D, anti-codon, and T loops).
Source: RNAcentral
UGGGGCGUCGUCUAGUGGCAGGACAGCAGACUCUGGAUCUGCUUACGGUGGUUCGAAUCCAUCCGCCCCAGCCA